GCCUGGCUGGCUCGGUUGGUAGAGCAUCUGACUCUUGAUCUCAAGGUUGUGAGUUCAAGCCCAAUGUUGGGCA
This 73-nucleotide transfer RNA is filed under the name Canis lupus familiaris (dog). It matches the Rfam family "tRNA". From Rfam's summary of the family: Transfer RNA (tRNA) molecules are approximately 80 nucleotides in length. Their secondary structure includes four short double-helical elements and three loops (D, anti-codon, and T loops). Lineage: Eukaryota; Metazoa; Chordata; Mammalia; Carnivora; Canidae. RNAcentral also lists the same sequence under 1 other name. The record is from Rfam by way of RNAcentral.